Molecule: non-coding RNA, 3121 nt
Organism: Agelaius phoeniceus (red-winged blackbird)
Lineage: Eukaryota; Metazoa; Chordata; Aves; Passeriformes; Icteridae
Source: RefSeq, a predicted model, not a curated record
UAAAGGAAUUCCCCAAAUUAACAAUUCCCUGGAUGAAUUCCCCAAAGGAACCAGGCCAGGCUAACUGGGGGCUCAGCACCUCGUUCAUUUAGGGAAUGUUCAGGGUUUUCCAGGAGCAUCCAGAGGCUUUGGAUCAACAGCAGGAAUGAGGAGAGGCCAGGCUGGGAUUGGCUGUGUCCCAGUCCCAAUCCCAUUCCCAGUCCAUUUCCAUUCCCAGUCCCAGUCCCAUUCCCAUUCCCAGUCCAAUCCCAUUCCCAUCCCAUUCCCAAUCCCAUUCUCAAUCCCAUUCCCAGUCCAAUCCCAUUCCCAGUCCCAUUCCCAUCCCAAUCCCUUUCCCAAUCCCUUUCCCAAUCCCAUCUCAAUCCCAUUCCCAAUCCCAUCUCCAGUCCCAUUCCCAAUCCCAUUCCAAUCCCAUUCCCAUUCCCAGCCCCAUUCCCACUCCCAUUCCCAAUCCCAUCUCCAGUCCCAAUCCCAAUCCCAUUCCCAGUCCCAUUCCCAACCCCUUUCCCACAUCCCAGGACAUUCCCUGAUCCCAGAUUUGGUUUCCCCCUCCCUGGGAUCCCCUGGGAUACAUCAGGACUGGGUUCUGCCUGGAAGUUUGGGAAUUUUGGGAUUGAUUUCCCCCCUUUGGAGCUCUUUUCCCAGUGCCAGGUUGGGGUUGGGAUUCCAGGGAUUGGGGUUGGGAUUCCAGGCCUGAAUCCCAGCUGGAAUUCCUGGAAUUCCUGGGGCUUUGUCCUUGCAUGUCUGAGCUGGGAAUCUCCUUCCCCUUCCAGUUUUCCCUGCUUUUCCCCAAAAUCCUGGAAAAUCCCAGAGUUUCCCUCCAAGAACAAAUCCCUGCCAAACUCCUGGAAUCCACCAGGAUCCAGGCUGGGAAUGCCGAAUGCACUUUAUGGGGCCUGGGUUUAAUUCUCAUUUUAUUUAUGCAUUUAUUUAUUUAUUCCUCCCCUCCCUUUUCAUCCUGGAAAUCCCAAACCCUGCUGCUGCUCCCAUCCCGAGUUUGGGGCUGGGAUUCCCAGAAAUGGGAAACUGUGGAAACUCAGGGAAGCCCCAGAGGGGAUUUUUGUGGGAUUCAUCCCUGGGAAUGGCAGGAAAAGGUUUUGUGGGACAGUUUAGGGAUCCCAAAUCCAUUUUGAGGGAUCCCAAAUCCCCUUUCAAGGAUCCAAAUCCCAUUUUAGGGUUCCCGAAUCCCUUUUUAGGUGAUUUUCCAACCCUGCCCACACCGGUACAGCAAUGGAAUUCCCAAAUCCAAGUUUCCCUUGGAAAAGCAAAAAGAUUCCUUGGAGAACCAACAAGAAAUUCCCCCAAUCCCGUGGAUUCCAUCUUCGUUUUCCCUGAUUUUGGAGCCUUUCUGGGGGAUCCCAGAAUUUGGGGGUUUUUAUUUCAGAUCCAUUGGAGGAAUUCCUGCUGCUGGGAUUUAGGAGAGUUUCAGGAAUUCCAGCUUGGAAAACUGGGAAUGACAUUUGGGCUGUGGCCACUCCUGAUCCAUGAAUUGCUGGGAAUAAUCCCAUUAAUCCCAUUAUGUAUCCCAUUAAUCCCAUUUUCCCCAUUAAUCCCAUUAAUUAAAUUUAUCCCAUUUAUCCCAUAUAUUCAAUUUAUUCCAUUUAUCCCAUUAAUUAAAUUUUUCUCAUUUAUCCCAUUAAUCCCAUUAAUCCCAUUUAUUCCAAUUCCAAGCCAAUCCCAGUUUCUUUGAUCCCAGCUGGAAUUUUUGGGGGAUCUUCCCUGGUUUUUAGGAGCACCUGGAUCUCCUCUGGAUCUCCUCUGGAUCAAGGUUUGGGAUGAAAACCUCGGAAAAUCCAAGGAUCCAAAACCCUCUUGGAUCUCAGGGCCUGGGGGUCUUUCCUGGGGAUUUGUGGGAUUUGUGGGAUUUGGGAUUUCUGGGAAUGCCAGAAGCAGCUGAAUCCCUGGAAUAAUGGGAAUAAACUCCUGGAUUGGGCCUCGUGGAUUUUUGGGUCACUUUGGGACAAUCCCUUCACCCUUGGUUCCCAAAUCCCACCAGGCCAUUCCUGCUUGAUCCUCCCCUUCCCAGGCUUCCCAAAUUCCAAACCCAGCUGAAAAAUCUGGGAUGAUUCCUCUUCCCUGGGGGUUUCCUGUGGAUCCCUGCACAGGGCAGGGAACGAUCCAGAAGAAUCCCUCCCAAUUCCAGCUGGGAGCGGGGAUUUGCCUCCAUCCGUGGGAAUCUCUGGGAUUUCUCCUGGCUGGAAUCUGGGCUGGAGAAUGGGAGCUGGAUCCUGGCAGCUUUUCCCAAAAAUGAGGUUUAUCCUGGGAAAACAGGCUGGAAUUCCUUGGGAAGCCAGAAAAUUUCACUCCUGGAUCCCCUGGCUGAGGGAAAUCCCUGGAAAAUCUGGGAAAGGGACAACUCCCAGGAAAACCAGGAUUGGGAUUCCUGAUUUUACCUUCAGGGCUCUUGGAGCGAGGGGAAAAAAAUUCCCAGGAGUUUUCCUGAGCUUUGCAUCCCUCGGAUCCUCUGGAAUGGGGCAGGAGCAAAGCUGGAAUUCUGCCCCACCUCUGGAUUUUGGGAAUAAAUCCACCCAAACACCCAAAUCUGGAGGAUUUUCCCUGAGGUUUUCCAUACCCUCCCUUUCCCAGGAAAAUCCAGGGUGAUCCUGCAGAGCUUUUUGGUGCCCAUCCCAAAUUUUUGGGUGGAUUUGGGGAAUGUGGAGAAAACCCCUGGAGCACCAGGUAGUGGUUUUAACCCCAAAAUCGACAUUUUGGGAUUGCACAGCAAAGCCCCGGGGGGAUCAAACCCCACGGAUUCCUUGGGAUUUAUGGAAAAUGGGAUGAACCCUUUGGCUGUUCCCAGGGGGGAUCAAACCCCACGGAUUCCUUGGGAUUUAUGGAAAAUGGGAUGAACCCUUUGGCUGUUCCCUCCUCUCCUCCACGUCACAAAAUCCUCGCAUCCUGAAAAACCCCAAACCCCCUCACUUUGAGAUGGAUCCUGAGCUUUUGGUGGUGCCCUGAAACUGAGAUCCUGGAUUUUCCCUGGAUUCGGGAACUCGGGCAGUGCUGGAAAGGGGAGGAGCUCCUCAGAGCUGGGGAUUUGGGCACCUGGAAUUUAUUCCUGAUCAAAGGGAACCAGGGAAGGGUUGAGGUUAUUCCCGAAUAAAAUUCACUCUGGAAAAUC